Pungitius pungitius (ninespine stickleback) is the source of this 966-nucleotide long non-coding RNA. RefSeq lists it as uncharacterized. The record is from RefSeq and is a predicted model, not a curated record. NCBI's taxonomy places the organism in Eukaryota, Metazoa, Chordata, Actinopteri, Perciformes, Gasterosteidae. The transcript is spliced from 3 exons.
GCAGUGAGCUGCUCGGCCUCCUUGCACAACACAGAAAACGGGGCGAGACAAUACUCAAAUGCUCAGGAAUGCUGUGUCGGGAAGAUGAGAGAAAAGGCCGCGCAGGGUUCAACGGCGUGACUGAGAAGAGAGGAAGCCGAACCCACGACCACGCCAAUGUGGGAGGGACGCAGAGCGGGACAAAUACUUGACUGUAAAUGGGCGUGAGAGUUUCACCGACAGAGUUUCUCAGACGUCGACAGCUUCUGCAGCAGCGGGGUCUCCACGGCGACCGGGCCAGGCCCUCGGGACUUCCACAAGGGGAACAGCCAGGCUGAGCUUAGAUGGCCGUGUUUGGACAAUGAAAACCAAAACCAAAACUUUCAAAAGAAACAAACGGGGCUUUUUGUUGAGGAGGGCGGGGACGACGCCGGUCAAUACACCUGCCUGCCAUCUCAAUACCACAUUAAUUCUGCAUCAUCUGCUGGACGACUAAAAAGCUCACUCAAGAAAUGUCAAAAUCUACGAAGACACACGGAGCACAGGAUGAUGACGAGACGCGUAUCCCAAUGACUUGCGGCUGGGGUGCGGGCGGCGCGCAAAGCGAGCACGGGGCCGGCGCCGCGUGGUCCCGCUGCGAUGACCCGCACCACCGGAAGCUCGCCAUCUGCAGCAUCAUCUGCGGCAUCACCUGCAUCGGAAUCUGCUCUCUGACAAGUUCAGUCGAGGCGCAGCGGGAGGCCAAUCCGGUGACAGCCGCGGCGCUUUCAAAGCGGGCGAAGAAGUUCGGCAUCAUCUCCAUCGCGGUGUGGGUUUCCGUGUUGGUGUUGACGCCCGUCCUCCUGGUGUUGAUCUCGUACCUCAUCACUCUGGGAGACUGAUGGGACUUCGAUGGGGGGGGGGGUUUAGGCUGAAGCAGGUCACGGAGGAGCCGCUCAAGAGCACGGGAUCAAAAACUUUACAACUGUUGCAGGUUUCUUUUUUAUA